This 484-nucleotide ribosomal RNA is filed under the name uncultured Streptomycetaceae bacterium. Its description in RNAcentral is "partial 16S ribosomal RNA". Lineage: Bacteria; Bacillati; Actinomycetota; Actinomycetes; Kitasatosporales; Streptomycetaceae. The record is from RNAcentral.
CACGUAGUUAGCCGGUGCUUCUUCUGCAGGUACCGUCACUCUCGCUUCUUCCCUGCUGAAAGAGGUUUACAACCCGAAGGCCGUCAUCCCUCACGCGGCGUCGCUGCAUCAGGCUUCCGCCCAUUGUGCAAUAUUCCCCACUGCUGCCUCCCGUAGGAGUCUGGGCCGUGUCUCAGUCCCAGUGUGGCCGGUCGCCCUCUCAGGCCGGCUACCCGUCGUCGCCUUGGUAGGCCAUCACCCCACCAACAAGCUGAUAGGCCGCGGGCUCAUCCUGCACCACUAAACGCUUUCCACCACCACAGAUGCCCAUGGCAGUAAUAUCCGGUAUUAGACCCCGUUUCCAAGGCUUGUCCCAGAGUGCAGGGCAGAUUGCCCACGUGUUACUCACCCGUUCGCCACUAAUCCCCGGCGAAACCGGAUCAUCGUUCGACUUGCAUGUGUUAAGCACGCCGCCAGCGUUCGUCCUGAGCCAGGAUCAAACUCU